UCUCCUGGGAAACGGGUGGUAAUACCGGAUGCUCCGCUCCAUCGCAUGGUGGGGUGGGAAAUGCUUUUGCGGCAUGGGAUGGGGUCGCGUCCUAUCAGCUUGUUGGCGGGGUGAUGGCCCACCAAGGCGUUGACGGGUAGCCGGCCUGAGAGGGUGACCGGCCACAUUGGGACUGAGAUACGGCCCAGACUCCUACGGGAGGCAGCAGUGGGGAAUAUUGCACAAUGGGCGCAAGCCUGAUGCAGCGACGCCGCGUGCGGGAUGGAGGCCUUCGGGUUGUAAACCGCUUUUGUUCAAGGGCAAGGCACGGUUUCGGCCGUGUUGAGUGGAUUGUUCGAAUAAGCACCGGCUAACUACGUGCCAGCAGCCGCGGUAAUACGUAGGGUGCGAGCGUUAUCCGGAUUUAUUGGGCGUAAAGGGCUCGUAGGCGGUUCGUCGCGUCCGGUGUGAAAGUCCAUCGCCUAACGGUGGAUCUGCGCCGGGUACGGGCGGGCUGGAGUGCGGUAGGGGAGACUGGAAUUCCCGGUGUAACGGUGGAAUGUGUAGAUAUCGGAAAAAAACACCA
RNAcentral lists this ribosomal RNA (565 nucleotides) under Bifidobacterium animalis subsp. lactis. Its description in RNAcentral is "bacterial SSU rRNA". It matches the Rfam family "Bacterial small subunit ribosomal RNA", at positions 146 to 711 of the family's 1533-position model. Lineage: Bacteria; Bacillati; Actinomycetota; Actinomycetes; Bifidobacteriales; Bifidobacteriaceae. The record is from RNAcentral.